Long non-coding RNA from Nasonia vitripennis (jewel wasp), 99 nucleotides. RefSeq lists it as uncharacterized. The record is from RefSeq and is a predicted model, not a curated record. The transcript has 2 exons. Lineage: Eukaryota; Metazoa; Arthropoda; Insecta; Hymenoptera; Pteromalidae.
AAUUAAGGGCACUGGUCUCAUGCCUGAUCAUCGAUAACACUGGAUCUUCGUUAGUGUGUAACUUUCAGAUGCAGUGUUUCUAAGAUGCAGGUUAUACGU